CAGCAGCCGCGGGAAUACGGAGGGAGCUAGCGCUGUUCGGAAUUACUGGGCGUAAAGCGCGCGUAGGCGGUUACUCAAGUCAGAGGUGAAAGCCCGGGGCUCAACCCCGGAACUGCCUUUGAAACUAGGUGACUAGAAUCUUGGAGAGGUCAGUGGAAUUCCGAGUGUAGAGGUGAAAUUCGUAGAUAUUCGGAAGAACACCAGUGGCGAAGGCGACUGACUGGACAAGUAUUGACGCUGAGGUGCGAAAGCGUGGGGAGCAAACAGGAUUAGAUACCCGUGUAGUCCCUGUCUCUUAUAC
This 301-nucleotide ribosomal RNA is filed under the name uncultured bacterium. Its description in RNAcentral is "partial 16S ribosomal RNA". It matches the Rfam family "Bacterial small subunit ribosomal RNA", at positions 509 to 807 of the family's 1533-position model. The record is from RNAcentral.